UGCAAGAUUAAGUUUCAUCAUCAUCUCAUCUUCAUCAUUUCAAAAAUUCAAGUUUUGAAGUCGAAGGAUUCUCCCAUUCGGGUCAAAUUCGGGUUUGAGCACGAGGUGAAGGUUUUGGUUGCGGACUCGUAGCGGUUGUUGAGCAUUUAUAACUCUUUAUUAACUUGUUAUCGUAGCUUGGAAGCCAAGGUAUUCAUGUGAAGUUGGAGUAUUGAUUAGCUACUUGUCGUUUC
This is a long non-coding RNA of Erigeron canadensis, 233 nucleotides long. RefSeq lists it as uncharacterized. The transcript has 3 exons. The record is from RefSeq and is a predicted model, not a curated record. Lineage: Eukaryota; Viridiplantae; Streptophyta; Magnoliopsida; Asterales; Asteraceae.